GUUGUUGCAUAGAAAGGGAGUAUUUAUUACUCCACAAUUGUCUUUUUUUAGCUAGUGGUCAAAACAUUCAGAAAACUUCAAAGAGCUGCAUGCUCAGGGAGAGGAGGUACAAGGGAAGCUGUGGGUGUGACGUUGUGAUGGAGUGGACCAAGGAGGAGAAAUGCUUGGGAUUCUCUUUGGUUCUUGCCUGUGCUCUGGGAAAUCACUGAACUGCCCUAAGGAAAAUUGUCCCCUGGUGCAGUGAACUCCAGUGCUCCCAUAAGUGUUUACCAUCAGCAAAGAACCAGCGCCUGCUUCUGAGUAACCUAGUUCUACCUAGAAUGGACUGCAGGCAUGCAGGUGGGCUGAAUUUGUUCACUAGUAAUAUUGCUUCUACUGCCUUUGGGAAGUGGGUCUAGGGACACAGUAGAUGUGGGGGACAAACAAAUACCAUUCAUCUUCUGGCUACCCUAUUUAACUCCUGACAACUGGAACAGGGAUGUCGACAGUCAGAGGAGGAGGAGGGUAGAAGUGUGCACUGGAACACCAGAUGUUUGAGGCUGAAAAUUAUAUGGAUGCAGAAUAAAUAACCCCAAAAUAACCUUCUAUCUGUGGUGUCCAGUCCCCCUCCUUGGCCAGGCAUCAAAGCUACGUGUUGUUCGUUUAAAACAUGAACAUCCUGAUCCCAGGACUUUGAAGAUAGGAAUCACCCAUCCCAAACCAGACACACUGCCCACAGUAGCUGAGAAAGAAGCCAAAGGUGGUGAAUGAUUAGCAGAACUGCCAGACAGCUCCAGAGUCUGGACACAGAGUACCAGGAAAGCUGUUUCGUGGGGGAAACUCAGACUGAUCAAAAGAGCCGAGGAAGUCCUUUGUGGCCUGUCUACUCCAUGGAAAUAGCUCUAGGAGAGGGAAGACCAGCUGCCUUCAUCAGGAAUUCACAGGUGGCAUUUCUAUGGGGAAUCAGCACAAGGUCAGAGUCCAGGCCUCAUCUGUCCAGACUUUUUUCUUAAUAGUUCAAACAUGGGUGAGCUACUGUAGUAGCACAAACAGAGAAAUGUUUUGUUUGCAACUUUAGAACCACCUUCCACCUUUGCCCACCCUCUAUGUCUCUGGAGGCCGCACUUUAUGGAUGGCAAUAACAACCUUCUUCACAUUCUGGCUUCUGGUUGGGUUUGUUAAAGGAAGGCACAGGAAAGAGGAAGGAGGGAGGUGAGCAGGAGGAGAAUGGGUCUGACAUAUCCAUUCCCAGGUAGCCUCUCUGCUGAGUGCAGAGGUUGUUUGCAUCACCUAUAGAGGGCCCCAGCUCCAGCAGGAGGCCAGCUCCUAUAGCUAGAGCUACCCCUCAGGUCUGGUCAGCUGCUUCCCUGUGCCUAGGUGUGGUUAAUGGCUCUUCACUGUCGCUAACUCUUGGAUAUGUUAGCUUUCCUGCCAACAGUGUUUUAAGUGACUCCUUUAGUUAACACGUAAUAGUUUUACCCCAUGUGAGUGUGCAAUUCUAGAUCAAUGAUUGAUAGAGUAACAGAUAUCAAGAGUGGCCUCAGGAGUG
Molecule: long non-coding RNA, 1528 nt
Filed under: Papio anubis (olive baboon)
Lineage: Eukaryota; Metazoa; Chordata; Mammalia; Primates; Cercopithecidae
Description: lncRNA (ENSPANG00000040215.1)
Source: RNAcentral